RNAcentral lists this ribosomal RNA (303 nucleotides) under uncultured bacterium. RNAcentral describes it as "partial 16S ribosomal RNA". It matches the Rfam family "Bacterial small subunit ribosomal RNA", at positions 507 to 809 of the family's 1533-position model. The record is from RNAcentral.
AGCAGUCGCCGCGGUAAUACGAGGGGGGCAAGCGUUGUUCGGAAUUAUUGGGCGUAAAGGGCGCGUAGGCGGUUUGACAAGUUUGGUGUGAAAUCUAUGGGCUCAACCCAUAGCCUGCAUCGAAAACUGUCGGGCUUGAGUAUGGGAGAGGUGAGUGGAAUUUCCGGUGUAGCGGUGAAAUGCGUAGAUAUCGGAAGGAACACCUGUGGCGAAAGCGGCUCACUGGACCAUUACUGACGCUGAGGCGCGAAAGCUAGGGGAGCAAACAGGAUUAGAUACCCGCGUAGUCCCUGUCUCUUAUAA